This 87-nucleotide small RNA is filed under the name Epilithonimonas hominis. RNAcentral's name for it is "Chryseobacterium hominis Flavo-1 RNA". It matches the Rfam family "Flavo-1 RNA". The record is from RNAcentral. Lineage: Bacteria; Pseudomonadati; Bacteroidota; Flavobacteriia; Flavobacteriales; Weeksellaceae.
UCUAAACUUCGUUUUGUAGUGGAAAUCCUUUUUCUUUUCUUUCACAUAAGGAAAAGAAAAAGAUUGCAACGGAAAGCGGGAUUAAGC